Molecule: ribosomal RNA, 40 nt
Filed under: Poecilanthe itapuana
Lineage: Eukaryota; Viridiplantae; Streptophyta; Magnoliopsida; Fabales; Fabaceae
Also listed under: 1 other name
Description: partial large subunit ribosomal RNA
Source: RNAcentral
UGGGACCUCAGGUCAGGCGGGGCUACCCGCUGAGUUUAAG